ACUGAUACCAAUGACUAUGACGUCAAAAUGCGUAACGUGUUCAAGUUCCUCGAGAACGGCGACAAGGUAAAGAUCACAUUGCGCUUCCGUGGCCGUGAGAUGGCGCACCAGAAUCUGGGCCGCGAGCUGCUGGAACGUGUCGCCGAAGACACCAAAGAGAUGGGCCGCGUCGAAAACUUUCCGAAAAUGGAAGGCCGUCAGAUGGUUAUGCUGAUCGGACCGCUGCCUAAAUAAUUCCAGACGAUCAAUCGUCUGAAACUUAAAAAGCCCCCGCAGUUUCCUGCGGGGGCUUUUCUUUGUUUAUACCGAUGGGGUUACUGGCGCA
This 325-nucleotide unclassified non-coding RNA is filed under the name Sulfitobacter litoralis. RNAcentral's name for it is "Long range pseudoknot". The record is from RNAcentral. Lineage: Bacteria; Pseudomonadati; Pseudomonadota; Alphaproteobacteria; Rhodobacterales; Roseobacteraceae.